AUUGAACGCUGGCGGCAUGCCUUACACAUGCAAGUCGAACGGUAACAGGCCCUUCGGGUGCUGACGAGUGGCGGACGGGUGAGUAAUGCUUAGGAAUCUGCCUAGUAGUGGGGGAUAACCCGGGGAAACUCGGGCUAAUACCGCAUACGCCCUACGGGGGAAAGGCGGGGGACGUUUCGGUCCGUCGCGCUAUUAGAUGAGCCU
RNAcentral lists this ribosomal RNA (204 nucleotides) under uncultured bacterium. RNAcentral describes it as "partial 16S ribosomal RNA". It matches the Rfam family "Bacterial small subunit ribosomal RNA", at positions 30 to 232 of the family's 1533-position model. The record is from RNAcentral.